This 1107-nucleotide long non-coding RNA is filed under the name Olea europaea subsp. europaea. Lineage: Eukaryota; Viridiplantae; Streptophyta; Magnoliopsida; Lamiales; Oleaceae. The record is from RNAcentral.
CAUUAUCUUAUGCAUGAGAUUGAACUUAUAAGGGCGAUUCUUCAAGGAGUUGAAUGUUUUUGACUUUCUAUUUUUCCUAUUCCCGCUACAAUUAUAUUUAGAAUUGUUAGCCUUUGUCGGACAUUCCUUUGGGGAUCUAAAAAGCCGUUAGUUGCAUGGAAGAAUAUUUGCCUUCCGAAGGAGGAAGGGGACCUUGGACUUAAGGACUUGAAGAGUUGGAAUUUAGCGUUACUUGCUAAAUCCUUUUGGAACAUUCACAAUAAAAAAGACUCCAUAUGGAUUCGGUGGUUCCAUCAUGUUUAUCUUAAUGGGACUUGCAUAUGGGAGGUUUGUCCUAUAAAGGUUCAUUCUCCACUCUUCAAGAAACUUCUUAAAAUUAGGGACAUUAUUUGUGUAAAUGCUGCUGCCCAACAGUUUUCUUUUCAUGGACAGCAAGGGAGAACGGAUCAGAUGGUUGUUAGAUUUUCCCCCUCUCGACAUGCUAUUUCAGGCAAAAUUUUAAGGGCUGAAAAUGCACAAAACUAGGCAGUUAAUGGGCAGUACUUGGAAAGCAACACAGGCCAGCAGUUUCCUUCAUUCGGUAGGCAGUUUUUGAAAAUUUGGAACGAAAAUCUGGGCUGUUCUACAUGUGAUAAAUUCGAGACAAAAAUUGCCUAUAAUUUCUUUAGGCCUAAGGGUACUUUCAAACCUUGGGGAGCAGAAGUUUGGAAAACGUGCAUCACUCCGAAGCAUUCUUUUAUGCUUUGGUUAGGGGCCCAAUCAAAAUUCCUAACUAAAGAGAAAUUACUUUUCUUGGAUAUUAAUCGCAAGUGUGAUUUUUGUGGAAACUUGUGAGUAUCUUUUCUUCAAGUGUUCCUUCACUUCUACCUUAUGGGGGAAUAUUAGGCGGUGGCUCGACAUUACGAGAUCUAUGUCAACAAUUGUUAGUGCUCUUAAGUGGUUGAAAAAAGAGGCCAUUGGGACUUCUUGGCAUAGUAAAGCGAAGAGGAUUGCUCUUGCAAACACUGUGUACUACAUUUGGCUUACAAGGAAUAGGAAGAUAUUCGAAGACCUCUCACCCGACUUGGAUUCUAUAGUGAGACGGAUCAAGACACACGUAUAAAAAGU